This 747-nucleotide long non-coding RNA is filed under the name Rattus norvegicus (Norway rat). RNAcentral describes it as "long non-coding RNA NONRATT002143". Lineage: Eukaryota; Metazoa; Chordata; Mammalia; Rodentia; Muridae. The record is from RNAcentral.
CAGCAGGGGAUUGUGCUUCUGUUCUGAGGCCUCUAGGCCGUGGUUUUGUGUUGGGGCCAUAUUGCAUGUGGAAACUAAAACCCAGUUAUUUGUAAGUAAUCCUUAGUUUCAAUGAAAAAAUCAAAGGUCAAAUUUGAAGAAAUUUUGGAGCCAGCCUAGCUUAGAUGUCUCCUCUAGCCAGAAACCCAAGGGUUAGGUAAUAAAGAGGCCCAGUAUAGAGAAGACCUGCUUUUGCCUGGCCCAUAGGGUUUUGCAGGGCUGGGUUGGCCCACAGGAGAUGAUGUCCUUGGCUGGCCCAUGUCUUCAGCUCCUGGUAUUUCCUGACCCCUGAAGUAGUACUAUCUGCCGGUUGGCCUGUUGCUGGCUGCCUCAGAUGCAGUCUCAGGGCAUUCCACACGUUCUUUCUAUGCUGAGUGGAUCAUGUGUCCUGGGCUGGGGCUGACUCACCUGGUGUUUGUUCAGUAGGGGCAAGUUCCUGGGCCCUGGGUUUCCGGGAGUGUUGUUAUACACAGUUCCUGACACAGCUCCUUCUCCUCCCUUGUGAUUUCUUCCUAGUGUGGACUUUGAUGAUGAGAAUGCUGUGCCAGAGUAUAAAGGGCUCUCAGAGCGGAGUCAGGCCGUUGGGGCAGUCCUCAGUCUCCUCCUGGUGGCACUGACUGGCUGUCUGCUGGCCUUGCUGCUUCAUAAGAAGGAGAGAAGGGAAACUGUGAUAAACAAGCUGACCAAUUGCUGCAGAAGGAGCUCGGG